RNAcentral lists this long non-coding RNA (588 nucleotides) under Numida meleagris (helmeted guineafowl). Its description in RNAcentral is "lncRNA (ENSNMEG00000014049.1)". The record is from RNAcentral. Lineage: Eukaryota; Metazoa; Chordata; Aves; Galliformes; Numididae.
ACGGUACAAGAUAAAUGCGAUGCUGUGAAAAUAAAACCAUGGAAGGCUGCAAACACUCAGCCUCAGCGGAGAUGACAACCAUAAAAGUAUCUUCGGUAGAGAGCAAUAUAUGACCCUGGUCACACAGGAUGUGGUGAGAAGACGACUGAACCUCACGUGGUGCGUUUCUGACCUGUCUUCACUGAGACUCAAGCUGUAACUUCUGCUGUGACGCUGCAGUUUUCAAAAGGAACUUUGAAAUUUUUGAAGCCAAGCUGCGAAAUUAUGGCCAAGAUGCUCCUUGACUAAUGGCGAAACACAUGCAAGACAAGUGGAGGAAAGGACAGGGCGGUCAAUCAGAUUUUUCUUUUCCCCACGUGAUGCAAAGGACUGUGUCAUACAUACGAACUGGCUUAAGACACAAGAUGAUGAAAUCUGCUGUGGUCAAACUGCAGAUGGAUUACUGUAAUUUGGCUGCAGACCUGACCUUCCCCCUCCGUGAGAAGGCUGCUGUGAUCGCCAGCAUUGGUUCAGGUUCACCUAGUGAAUAACACGUGUACGACAACUAGUCUGAAUAAAGUUACAGUUCUCUGUCCUAUAUACCUGUUA